This 2034-nucleotide long non-coding RNA is filed under the name Serinus canaria (Common canary). RNAcentral describes it as "lncRNA (ENSSCAG00000006031.1)". The record is from RNAcentral. Lineage: Eukaryota; Metazoa; Chordata; Aves; Passeriformes; Fringillidae.
GUGAGGAUGAGGAUGGAGGAGGAUUUUGGGUGGUUUUGGAUGUGGAUCUCGGAUUCCAGCUCGGAUUCCCACCUUUCCUCACAGUGAGGAUGAGGAUGGAGGAGGAUUUUGGGUGGUUUGGAUCUCGGAUUCCAGCUCGGAUUCCCGCCUUUCCUCACGGUGAGGAUGAGGAUGGAGGAGGAUUUUGGGUGGUUUUGGAUGCAGAUCUCGGAUUCCAGCUCGGAUUCCCGCCUUUCCUCACGCCGGGUGAGGGCUCGGCCUCGGGGGAGAAGCCCAGUGACCCCCUGAGCUCUCCCAGCCCCCUCAGUGCCGGAGCUGACCACGCUGGAUCCCGCCGGGUGAAUUCCCAAAGAUUCCGGCCAGGAGGAUUCGGGGUUUGUUCUCCACGGCUCUGACCCUCCUGAACCACCACGGCGCUGUCACCUCAACCUCGGCUCCACGAAACCCUUUGAAAAUCCCACGGGUGGGGAAAUCUCCGCUGGGCUCCGUGUCCCUGCGGAGAAGCCAAAACUCCCCGCCCGUGGAGGAGCCGGGAUAACCUCUUGUUUUAGGAACUCGAUCCACAGAGGGGCCAAAAAACCCCUCUGGGGCCCAACCGGAGCGACUGGAAAUGGUCGAGGAGGCGCAAAACCAACCCAAAACCCCCGCGUGAGCCACAGGUGGAUCUGGCACCGAGGGAUCCCUCACGGAUUGUUGGGAAUGCCGAGGGAAUUCCAGCUGGAUUUUGGGGAAUAGGGACAAAAACCCUGCUGGAAAACGCUGCUGCUGGAGGAGCCACCGGGACAGGGUGGGACCUUGGCCGGGCUCCUGUCACAGAUUCCAUCCUUUCACCCAUUCCUGGCAGUUUGAGCCCAAAAUGAGGCCGGGAUCCCCCUUGGGCGGAGCCGGGGCCCCUCCUGACCCCGCUGGUGCUGCUCCUCAUUGCCUAAUUAAGAGUCUAAUUUAGGUUAUCUGACUAAUGACUCAUUAGAUUCUCGUUAAGGAACCCUUGUCACGCCUCUUCCUUCCCCUCCCCCUGUGCGUCAGAAACCCGAACCACUUUUGGUGCAAACGCCCAGAAUUUGGGGAUAAACCCAUAAAAUCAGUAACAAACUGAUUAAUUAGCUUAAUUAGGCUCCAUCAGGUUUAAUUGCUAUUUGGUCCAACUCUUCCCUGCUCCAAACUCUUUGCUCCCCCCACACUUUGUCCACGUUUUAUUUAUUUUGGGAUUUUUUUCCUCCCCAAACCAAUUCCAGCUGUUUCAGAGCUUAAUUUGUGAUUAAUUAACCCCAGGAGCGUGUGUGAUUAAUUAAACCCGGAGAUUGGGAUGGGAACGUGGCUCCGUGUCCCCUCCUGUCCCACAAACACACCACAGCUGCUGCUCAGACAACGGGAAGGGAAAGGGGCCCAGAACGGCUCAUUUUGGGCGGGUUUCUGUGGUUUGGGGGCUCUCCAACAUGGGGAGGGGGAUGACACAACGUGGAUGAACUUUUCCUCCUGGAUUUCACCCCAAUUUUCCUGGGUUCCACUUUAAUCAGUGAUGUAAAGAUGGAGCUGUUUGGGCCCCACCUCGGCCCAGGAAUUGCGAAACCGUCGCUGCCGGAGCCGUUUCGAAAUAACCAAAAUCAGCCAAAAUCCCCUUUUUUUCCCUGUUUCGUCCCUUUUCUCACCCAGUUUUUUCCCUUCCACAACCCAGGGCUGAAUUUUGGGGUGUUCCAGCUUUAAUUUGGGACCUCGUCCACUCCUUUCUGUUCUCCCCCCACUCAUCCCCCUCUGCUCCAGUCCUGGAAAAGCUCCUUUGAUUUGCCAAAUUUUGGGGGAUUUUUAACCAUGAAAAGGGGAUUUUUGCUUUCUCGCCCCUCUCCUCCUUCCUCUCUUCCCUGCUCUAAACCCCAAAUUAUCCCCAAAAUUAUUGUUAUUAUCCCUGAAAUUACCCCAAAUAUCACUUCAUCCCUGAAAUGUUUUUUUUUUCCCCCAAUCUCAUUCUCCUGCAAAAAACCCAAAUCCCUUAAUUAAUUAUUAAUUAAUGAAUAAACCAUUUGGGAUCCCUUUCCA